CUGCCAACCCGGAAGGAGCCCGGAGGGGCCCGGGCGGCCAGGGCGCCCCCGCCAGGAGGCCCGCCAGGUGUCCACCUGAGCCCCACGCCCUGCGCCGCGGGGCCCUUUUGGGGGCGGGGUGCCAGCUCCGAGGUGUCCUCCCACGGGCUGUAGACUGGGAAACUGAGGCCCGGGCCACGGUCCCAGACGCAGCCGGGACCCGAACCCACCUCACCUGAGCGAAUGAUAUCCGGGACUCAUCCUUUUUCGACACCUUUGCGGGAUCCAGCCCUCCAAGGAAAGCUUCCUGAGCAGUGCGCGCCACGUGUAUUGGGCACCUCACCGCGGCCACUUCACAUCCUAUCUCAGGUGGAGAAACUAAGCCACAGAAAGGAGCUGUCAUUUACCUAAAGCACCGUGGCAGGGGUUUGGCAGAGCCAGGAUUUGUACCCAGAUCGCCUGACUUCGGAGAGUAACAGCUCUUAACCACAGCACUUCGGUCUAUGCCUUGAUUUCACCAUAUGUAACAAGCAGCUGUGCCACUUUGCAUUCCCACCAGCAGCACGCAAGCGUUCGAAUUUCUCCGCACGCUCCCCAACAGGUCUCGCUCAUCACCAGGCUGGAGUACAGUGACAUGA
This 617-nucleotide long non-coding RNA is filed under the name Homo sapiens (human). RNAcentral describes it as "HSALNT0405586". The record is from RNAcentral. Lineage: Eukaryota; Metazoa; Chordata; Mammalia; Primates; Hominidae.